RNAcentral lists this unclassified non-coding RNA (337 nucleotides) under soil metagenome. RNAcentral's name for it is "partial contains 5.8S ribosomal RNA, internal transcribed spacer 2, and large subunit ribosomal RNA". The stretch from base 1 to 120 matches the Rfam family "5.8S ribosomal RNA", at positions 35 to 154 of the family's 154-position model. The record is from RNAcentral.
GAUGAAGAACGUAGCGAAAUGCGAUAAGUAGUGUGAAUUGCAGAAUUCAGUGAAUCAUCGAAUCUUUGAACGCACAUUGCGCCCCUUGGUAUUCCAUGGGGCAUGCCUGUUCGAGCGUCAUUUGUACCUUCAAGCUCUGCUUGGUGUUGGGUGUUUGUCUCGCCCCUGCGUGUAGACUCGCCUCAAAACAAUUGGCAGCCGGCGUAUUGAUUUCGGAGCGCAGUACAUCUCGCGCUUUGCACUCAUAACGACGACGUCCAAAAGUACAUUUUUACACUCUUGACCUCGGAUCAGGUAGGGAUACCCGCUGAACUUAAGCAUAUCAAUAAGCGGAGGA